GCUUACGGCCACACCACCCUGAGCGCGCCCGAUCUCGUCUGAUCUCGGAAGCUAAGCAGGGUCGGGCCUGGUUAGUACUGGAUGGGAGACCGCCUGGGAAUACCAGGUGCCGUAAGCU
Ribosomal RNA from Lates calcarifer (barramundi perch), 118 nucleotides. NCBI's taxonomy places the organism in Eukaryota, Metazoa, Chordata, Actinopteri, Centropomidae. The record is from Ensembl.